This 2535-nucleotide long non-coding RNA is filed under the name Homo sapiens (human). RNAcentral's name for it is "non-protein coding LINC02341:7". The record is from RNAcentral. Lineage: Eukaryota; Metazoa; Chordata; Mammalia; Primates; Hominidae.
CCUGGCCCUUAGGCACUCUCAGCAUAGUUGUUUAUGAAGGAUUUUGGACAAUAAUUGACUUUUUGGGUGUCUAAGGUUUGAGUUUCUUUUAUCAACUAGUGCUGGAGGAGCCAAAUAGUCAAGACUGGGGAAAGGAGAGGAGGAAGAAGACCAUGAAGUAGGGAACCUACUGAUCCUAGGAGCCAUCCAGGAACUGCAACUAUUGUGUGCCUAAAUACAGGAAGGGCCAGCGACUGAGGAUGUGCCUUCUGGAUGCCUGCCACGUUUCCUGCUCAUUCACCCAAGCCUGCCGAGAUAUCAGUUUACCCAGAGAGUCAACGUACUUUUUCCACAGUGAGACCAAUUGAGAACACAAGUAUCCCAAUUUCCAGCAGGAGCUUCCAGCUCUAGGUUCUUGGGCACAGGCUGAUGUGAGUUCAUUGUGGAUUCCUGUGAAGUGUGUUACUGCAGGUGACCGAAACUGGACUUGGACUGAGGUCUCACCUACCAAAUCAUAAUAAAUAUCUAUAUAUUUGGAGAUAGAGAUGAAAACCAUGUGGCUGUAUCCAGUUGGAGUGAAAAAUAUGAACUAUGAAGAAAGAAGGAGUUCUGCUUCUUCCAAAGGAGUGACUCCCAAAGGAACAAGAAUUGACCAUAGGUUAUGGCUUGUGUUACAAUACACCGAUGUUGUCUUUGAGGCCAUCCACUGACGUCCUCACCCAUGGCAUAAGCAAGUUUUUCUGAAGCAGGAAGAAGCAGCAGAAUAAAUUGGAUACUUAAUGAUUGUCUACCCCUUCAAGCUAAUGUGCAUAAGAUUAACACUACUCCAUUUCCCACUACUUUGCAUCUGGGGACACUUCUUACAAGGAUUCAUAUGCCAUGAGGACUGGCAUUAUGUUGAGGUGGAAUAAAGAGCUGGUUACAUCCUAUAAUUUCAGAAGCACUGCAAGCUUUAUUUGCCACAAAUGCCUAUCCUCUAGCAGACUUCUUAGAGUUGGAAUAGAGCUUUUUUUACCAUGCCUCACAGGAGGCAGAAUACACAUCUUUGCUCCAUUGUCCUUGGGCUUGGCCGUGUGACUUGUUUUGACAGAUAGAGGGUGGGCAUAUGUAAAUGCCAAUUCUGACAGAGGUUUUAAAAGGCUUUGCAUGUUUCUGCAGGUCUCUCUUGUGCUCCUGCCUCCUGCCAUGAGAACAGCAAGUCCCAGGUAAGAACUAAUCCUUCUGCCUAACUCUCCAUAGGAGAAAACCUGAACUUGACCUACGUUCUGGAACAGAGCCACCCAGAUGACCCACAGACACUGGGAGAGAAAUGAAGACUUAUUGUUUUAGACUUUGAUAUUCUGGAAUUGAUUGCAGCAUCAUUACGGCAAAAGCUGACUAAUACAAUUCCAUUUGUUAUUCUAUUAAGUUCUUUUUGUUAAAAAAGUAUAUAACCAUUGUUGAAAAAUUAGAAAAUACAGAAAAUCAAAAUGAAGAAAAAAAUUGGGUAGGAAGACAGGCUCAAACAACUAUGAUGCAAUUACAUGUUUAUUUACAAUUGUGAUAAGUGCUAUAAAGGGAAAGUCUGUAUUCUAGGAUAAUAUUAAUAUUUAAAAAGAGGGCAUAGGCUAGGCAUGGUGGCUCAUGCCUAUAAUCCCAGCACUUUGGGAGGCCGAGGCGGACAGAUCACCUGAGGUCAGGAGUUUGAGACCACCCUGGCCAACAUGGUGAAAUUCCAUCUCUACUAAAAAUACAACAAUUAGCUGGGCGUGGUGGCACAUACUUGUAAUCCCAGCUGGUCGGGAGGCUGAGGCAGGAGAACCACUUGAACCCGGGAGGCGGAGGUCGCAGUGAGCCAAGAGCACACCACUGCACUCCAGCCUGGGCAACAGAGCGAGACUCCAUCUCAAAAAAAAAAAAAAAAAAAGAAGGCAUGAUAUAAUCUGGAAUCAGGAAAAACUUUCCAAAAGAAAUAAUGUUACGCAUAUCGUGUAUUAAAUACAUAAAAACUAUAAUGUUGCAUCUAUUAUAAUACACACAUACUUUUAUAUUACAAAUAGGUUAGUUCUUAUAUAUAUAUUUCUUAUACAUACUUCUCUCAUAUAUAAUGUAACAUGUAUAAGAGAACAUAUUACUGAAUUUAUUCUCUUCAAUGGACAAUAUAAAAUUAACAUCUUUCCAUAUUAGCAAAUAUGUUCUCACAUCAUCAUUUAUUUUAAUGCCUGUCUCAUAUUCCAGUGAUAUGUGUGGGCCAUGGUUGAUUCAACCCAUCCUCUGAUGUUGGACGUUUGAGUUGAUUUUCAUUUUUUGUCACUCUGAACAAUCUUGUAAUGAACAUUCUAGCAAGGACUCUAACCUGUUUGCUGAAGAGAAAUAAUUGUGGUGAAAAUGAGAAAAUUAUGUGCUGUGAAGCAAAAUUCUAUGACAUAUCCUGACCUUAUGUAUCCCCUCAGGAAGCAUAAUGGAAAUAUUUAUGUUUGAAAUAAAAUUUCUCAUGUACUUCCAGCUACACUCAGUGAGUCAUUCCUGAAGAUCCUUGGGGAAAAUUUAGACUAUGUUUCUUGGAUGAAGAUUGAU